UAGGGAAUAUUGGACAAUGGGGGCAACCCUGAUCCAGCCAUGCCGCGUGAGUGAAGAAGGCCCUCGGGUUGUAAAGCUCUUUUGUCCGGAAAGAAAAGCAUUCGGUGAAUACCCGGAUGUUCUGACGGUACCGGAAGAAUAAGCACCGGCUAACUUCGUGCCAGCAGCCGCGGUAAUACGAAGGGUGCAAGCGUUACUCGGAAUUACUGGGCGUAAAGCGUGCGUAGGUGGUUGUUUAAGUCUGAUGUGAAAGCCCUGGGCUCAACCUGGGAAUGGCAUUGGAAACUGGGCAGCUAGAGGGCGGUAGAGNGUAGUGGAAGUCCCGGUGUAGCAGUGAAAUGCGUAGAGAUCGGGAGGAACAUCUGUGGCGAAGGCGACUGCCUGGACCAGCACUGACACUGAGGCACGAAAGCGUGGGGAGCAAACA
This 427-nucleotide ribosomal RNA is filed under the name uncultured bacterium. RNAcentral's name for it is "bacterial SSU rRNA". It matches the Rfam family "Bacterial small subunit ribosomal RNA", at positions 355 to 774 of the family's 1533-position model. The record is from RNAcentral.